AGGAUAAACGCUGGCGGCGUGCCUAAUACAUGCAAGUCGAGCGGCAGCACGGUCUUCGGACUGGUGGCGAGCGGCGGACGGCUGAGUAACGCGUGGGAACGUACCCCAAAGUGAGGGAUAAGCACCAGAAAUGGUGUCUAAUACCGCAUGUGCUCUAAGGAGUAAAGCUUCGGCGCUUUGGGAACGGCCUGCGUCCGAUUAGCUUGUUGGUGAGGUAAUAGCUCACCAAGGCGAUGAUCGGUAGCUGGUCUGAGAGGAUGAUCAGCCAGACUGGGACUGAGAACGGCCCAGACUCCUACGGGAGGCAGCAGUAGGGAAUUUUCCACAAUGGGCGACAGCCUGAUGGAGCAACGCCGCGUGCAGGAUGAAGGCCUUCGGGUUGUAAACUGCUUUUAUGUAUGACGAUUAUGACUGUAAUACAUGAAUAAGGAUCGGCUAACUCCGUGCCAGCAGCCGC
This 457-nucleotide ribosomal RNA is filed under the name uncultured bacterium. RNAcentral's name for it is "SSU rRNA". It matches the Rfam family "Bacterial small subunit ribosomal RNA", at positions 26 to 518 of the family's 1533-position model. The record is from RNAcentral.